UACGUAGGGGGCGAGCGUUGUCCGGAUUCAUUGGGCGUAAAGCGCGCGUAGGCGGCUCCGCAAGUCGGCCGUGAAAUCUCCGGGCUCAACUCGGAGGGGUCGGGCGAGACUGCGGGGCUCGAGGUGGGCAGAGGGCAGUGGAAUUCCGGGUGUAGUGGUGGAAUGCGUAGAGAUCCGGAGGAACACCGGUGGCGAAGGCAGCAUCCUGGACCGGCAUUGACACUGAGGCGCGAAAGCCAGGGGAGCAAACGGG
Molecule: ribosomal RNA, 253 nt
Filed under: uncultured bacterium
Lineage: Bacteria
Description: partial 16S ribosomal RNA
Rfam family: Bacterial small subunit ribosomal RNA
Source: RNAcentral